GUAUAUUAUUGCUCUGUUAAUGGGGUAGGAUCCGAGACCCAGAAAUGGGUUACAUAGGCUCUCUUACUCAACUCCUAUUCCGUCACGUCCCCGUCGUGCAGAGUGGUAACCUGCUUCACCGUAUAUCCAAGCUUGGGUAAACGGGCCAGU
Anopheles maculatus is the source of this 150-nucleotide non-coding RNA. NCBI's taxonomy places the organism in Eukaryota, Metazoa, Arthropoda, Insecta, Diptera, Culicidae. The record is from Rfam.